Long non-coding RNA from Equus caballus (horse), 4831 nucleotides. Lineage: Eukaryota; Metazoa; Chordata; Mammalia; Perissodactyla; Equidae. The record is from Ensembl.
CCAUGUGAGCAAACAGCAAGAAGAUGGAUGUUUGUGAACAGCCAAGUGGGCCCUUGCGUGACAAUGAAUCUCUUGGCACCUUGAUCCUAGGUUUCCCAGCCUCUAGAACCAUGAGAAAUAAACACUUGUUGCUGAAGCCAUCCAGUCCAUGGUAUUCCGGUAUAGCAGCCCCAACUUGUGACUGAGCCACCCCUACGCUAUCGAGCCUCUGGAGAAGGGUGAGUGUGUGAAGUGUGACAGCACAGAUUCCUGGGAAGUGUGCAUUUCCUUCCUUCCUUCCCUCAGUGAGGACCAUGAGAGGCACUGAAAGCAUCGCUGGGAGCCUCCUGUGUGUGCUUGUAGCUUUUGAGCGUCUCCUGGAUGACGUACGAGUGAACGGGCACGUGUGAGGCAGCUCUGCCUCCUCCCGGCUCAGUGACCCUUGGCAAAUCAUCAGGCUCCCUGACCCUCCACUUCCUCGCUUCCAAACGGGGCUGAAAAGACUUGCCCCUGAUAUUUUACAGAAUUACUGUGAGGUCUGAGGAAAUAACAAACGCAAAAGCCCUUUGAAAACUGAAGUCCUCUGCAAAUGCUGGAUUUGUCUUGUCAGAUAACGCGGCUGAUCGUCUAAGGUAACGUGCCAGACCCUACCCUCCACAAGAGAUGGCCCUUCCAAAGCUUUCUCCUCCUUCCCCACCAAGCGUAGACCUAUUCUAACGAUGCCCUUCUUGCUAAGACGUGUUUGAAAUAUUUCUUUGGAAAUUAUUCUUGCAGCUGGUUUACAAGCCAAAUGAGAAAAUCUGUUUCAUUACCUCGCAGACAGACCUCCAUUUCAUUCGGGGAGCCAAAAAUAGUUUUUCUGACCUGUUCUCCCAUCUUAUUCCUAAGAAGCAGUUCUGAAUGAUUUAUGUCUAUUUUAAAAAAAUCAAAUCCACCCUCGGGGAGAAAGAUCUGCCUCAUGGAGACGAUCAAAGGAGCUCGCCGCGGGAACCUGAGAGCAGUGUCGUUAUCUCGGUCACAUUUUACGCUCAUCAAACUCGAACGACUGUGCCCCGUUGUACCGGCCGGGUCUGUGAGCGAGGGCAUAGCCUGUCAAAACAUCAGGAAAUGCACCCCUUGAACCGUCUUUGGACUGAAAAGAACCUCAGAGGUCAUGUUACCUAAAUCAUCCCACUGGUUCCUUCAUUCAUUCCUUCAAAAACGCGUUCACUAAGCACUUGCCCAGCGUCGAUGAAGACGUCAAGGAGAAGAGGGAGGAUGCUGCCCUCCGAGCAUCCACGCCAACAAGAGAGGCACACAAGUAACCACACAAAUGCAAGAAAGAUGUGCUGCACGCUCUGAGAGAGGCCUGCGAUUGCUGGGAGACGGAGAGCCUGGCCGGCCCGGCCCGGAAGCCCUGGUUCUCGAGCUUUCUGGUGGAGGGGCGCUGGGGCUGGAUUUGGAAGGACCGGUUAGAGUUAGCAAGGUGAAGAUAGGCAGGGCAUCUGGGAAGAAGGAGGCACACGUACCCAGACAAGUGGGUUUGAUCCACUGUGUAGACCUGCGUACCAAAUGCUAAACCACUUGACGAUAUUUCAAAUGCAGAGUAGGGAGAGGGGGAUCCUUACCAAAAUUUUUAAACUUCUGGAUUCCCUAGAAGCUGGUAAAAUGAAUGGGCAUUUCUCUAGGGAAUUAUCUGUCAGGCUGAGAAGUGCCUGUCCUGUUGGGUGGGGGCCUACUCAGCCUCUCUGGCUGGAGUUUCUCCUACAGCUGCCCAGUUGCCUCAUUCGUCUUGCCUUCCCGGCUCCUGUUGGCACUGACUUGGUCACCAUGCUUCCUAGCUGGUUGAUACCAUUUACUAUGCCUCAUCCAGAAAUUCUUAAAUUGGGGUGCAAGAGUUCAAGAUUCAAGAAUUCAGGAGGAAGCCAUGAAUUUGAAGGGGAACAAAAUUUACUUUUUUUUAUUUUUAUUUUUUAUUUUUUUUUUGGUGAGGAAGAUUGGCCCUUAGCUAACAUCUGUUGCCAAUCUUCCUCUUUUUGCUUGAGGAAGAUUGUCACUGAGCUAACAUCUGCACCAAUCUUCCUCUACUUUGUACGUGGGACACUGUCACAGCGUGGCUUGAUGAGCGGUACAUUGGUUCAGACCUGGGAUCUGAACCCACAAACCCCAGGCUACCAAAGUGGAGCUCAUGAACUUAACCACUACCCCACCAGGCCGGCCCUAUUACUUCUUUUAUUUGCUAACCUCCAACUGAAAUUCAGAUCUUCCUUCAUUCAUCAAUGUAGGCAACAAGCCACAGUAGUAUUCAUAGUCCCUCCACUCAUGGCUUCGUUACCAACAGGAACAAAUGCUAUUCUCAUUUCAUAGAAGGGUUGUUGCAGAAUCUCAAAAUGAUGUCUGCAUUCAUCACUGCUUUGAAAGUGCCGUACAUACUAGACCCACCACUGGAUCUUAUUAUCUAACAAUUCAAAAAGCAGAUAUAUUUCAUACAUCAUAAAUAUGAUAGGUUUUUUAAUACUUCGAUCAUUUUUCAAUAGAAUCAGUUUCCUUCAUAAUCCUACAUAUUUCACUCUAUGCAUUUAAUUCAUGACUCUGAGAAGGGGUCUAUGGCACAAAAAAAUUUCUUAAUAAUCCCUCACAUAGGCAGUUCUAUGUGCUUAUAAACACAAAUUAGCACGUUUACUUCUUGCUAUGACUGAUCAGUGAUGUGGCUUUUACAGAUGGAGAAACUGAGGCACGAGAAGAUUCAGUGAACUCCUCACAGCCAGUAAGUGGCAGGGCGGGGCUGGGAAUCUGAAGAACCUGGCUCCCGAGGCCAUGCUCUCAACCACUGAGCUGUCCUGCUUUCCAGAGGAGCCUGGAAACAGGUACGGGACCAGAGUCUCGAGGCCUCAGUUUGGUCCUGGAGACACACUCUGCUCCUGUGUUUAUUUGCCUGGAAAGUUCUUAGGAUCUGGCACGUGGUCAGAACUCAAUAAACAUUAGCCAUUGUGAGUAUCUGCUCUGUGAAGACGAGGCAACUUCCCUGGGGAGGAUAAGGCACACUUUCCGUGUCUGCUGUGCUUUGUGCUCACCUCCAUAAAACAAGGACUAAACUGAACCGUGAUGGUUUGUUUCUAAACAGAACAUAAAUUUCUAGUAGACACUCAAAGACGUGUGUUGAAUGAAUGAAUACAUAAUAUCUUAAUUUGCCCAGUGAUCUGCAGCAACCCUCAGCAACCCCAAGAGGAGAGAGAUCAGGUAACGUUUCCAUUUUGCAGAGAGGAAAACCACACGACUUCUCUCCCCAAAAAACGACUACCAAAAAAUACCAAGUAUUGAACGCUUAAUCAGUGUUCAGCCAUGUACUGUCACUUUAAAUGCACAGUAUCAUGUAAUAGUAGAUCUAAAAGGUUAAGUGGCUCUCCUAAGGUCAAGUGCAAACAGCCAGUGAGCUGUGCACAGAGGUCUUCUACCUCUCAUCUGUGGGGCUCGUCACGGGGCACAGCGCAAAUCCAAUAAGCACACAUCAGGAUUUCCAAAGAGGGACAUAUUAGGGCUAGAACUCUCUUUACAAAGGGGUUUCAGGAUGAUACCUUAAAAAGCAUGAGCUCUCCUAAUAAUUUAAAAAUUUUCUGACUUGCAAGAACCCAUUUUCUCACCCAGUUUUGCAGAAAGGCACUAGUUGCAUGAAGCAGGGCCCACUUAGGUUCCUGGGAACCCAGACAUCUCAGUUGGUGCCAGGAAGCUGGUGAGUGUCCUCAGCCCAUAGGACCCGCCAUGUGGAUCCCCUCCAGCCCCUGCAAUACCUCCACUGACGUGAGUGAGGGGGUGCUUGGUUCUACUUGCUUGGAGCUCACCCGAGAGGGAGACCACAGAGCGUGCUUGGCUCCAAGAGGGAGCGCUCUGGGCUGAGGUCGGGGGCUGCAUUUUGCAUUUGCCUCAACACUUGGGUGGUCUUCAGGGCUGCUGCCAAGGAGCACAUCUUGCAGCAAUUUAGCUGGGAGACCACAGAAGUGGGGAAAGCGGCAAAGCGUGCAGUGGGCUUGGAGGUGGGCUCCACGCCCCUACCACUGCCAAACACCUCUGGCCACCCACAGGACAAAAAGGUGCUUCUGACCCGCGCACAGUACUUCUUCCAGAGGCUUGUUCUCAUGCUGGACAACCAACUACCCGUCACUCCCCUCCUGAGCGUCUAUUGACUCAGAUUUAAAAAUAGGGGUGGGGACGUCCACCACUCAGGUCUGACAUGAGGAUGGGAUGGUGCCCUGGUUAAGCAUUCAUAGGUGUGAAGGGAGCGAUGGAGAGAAAGAAAACCUCUGUGACCCAUGAGGCUGAAAGGGUGCACAGUUCAGCUCUGAGGCUAUUUAUAUUAACUAGAUGCACCAUUCCAGACCUUUCUGGAGUAACAGAGAUGGAAGAGAUACAGCCUCGGCUGUCAAAGCCCUGACAGGAGGCCUGGUUUUCAUUUUCUUUCAACUUGGAGUGACCGAGGGGAAGGCAGUUGGGAUGUGAGAGGAGAGCGAGCUCCCUGGUGGGUGGGACAGAGGCUGAAGAAGCUGGACCCCACGAGGCCUCCCCCCUUGAGGCCUGGGGCCUGGGUCAGAUUAAACCCCAGGAAGAACUGGGUGACAUAAUGAGGGCCUGCUGUGUGUCAGCCCCGUACUGAACCCAUCCCAGGCAUCAUCAGAUAGUCUUUGAAGUUAUCCCAGAAUGAGUGAAGAUUGUCUUCAGCCCUACAAAGGAGCCAUCAUGACCCCUUUUCAGAGACAAAAGAUGGUUCUGUGUACAGGUGUGGGCUCCGGAGUGGAGAAGCUAUGGGACUCCAGCAAGUUGUUUCACCUGAGCCUCAGUUUCUUCAUCUGCAAAAUGGAGAACAUGACUUAGCUCCCUC